GAUGAACGCUAGCGGCAGGCCUAAUACAUGCAAGUCGAACGAUACUUUCCAGCUUGCUGGAAAGGAAAGUGGCGCACGGGUGCGUAACGCGUAUGCAACCUACCUUAAUCAGGGGGAUAGCCCGAAGAAAUUCGGAUUAACACCGCAUAAAAUCACAGUACAGCAUUGUACAAUGAUCAAAUAUUUAUAGGAUUAAGAUGGGCAUGCGUGACAUUAGCUAGUUGGCGGGGUAACGGCCCACCAAGGCGACGAUGUCUAGGGGAUCUGAGAGGAUGACCGUCCGCACAGGAACUGAGACACGAACCAGACUCCUACGGGAGUAAGCAGUAAGGAAUAUUGGUCAAUGGAGGCAACUCUGAACCAGCCAUGCCGCGUGCAGGAAGACAGCCCUCUGGGUCGUAAACUGCUUUUAUUCGGGAAUAAACCUACUUACGUGAAAGUAGCUGAAUGUACCGAAGGAAUAAGGAUCGGCUAACUCCGUGCCAGCCGCCGCCGUAA
RNAcentral lists this ribosomal RNA (498 nucleotides) under uncultured bacterium. RNAcentral's name for it is "partial 16S ribosomal RNA". It matches the Rfam family "Bacterial small subunit ribosomal RNA", at positions 28 to 523 of the family's 1533-position model. The record is from RNAcentral.